This 508-nucleotide ribosomal RNA is filed under the name uncultured bacterium. RNAcentral describes it as "partial 16S ribosomal RNA". It matches the Rfam family "Bacterial small subunit ribosomal RNA", at positions 28 to 523 of the family's 1533-position model. The record is from RNAcentral.
GAUGAACGCUAGCUACAGGCUUAACACAUGCAAGUCGAGGGGAAACGAUAUUGGAAGCUUGCUUCCGAUAGGCGUCGACCGGCGCACGGGUGAGUAACGCGUAUCCAACCUGCCCACCACUUGGGGAUAACCUUGCGAAAGUAAGACUAAUACCCAAUGACGUCCAUAGAAGACAUCUGAAAUGGAUUAAAGAUUUAUCGGUGAUGGAUGGGGAUGCGUCUGAUUAGCUUGUUGGCGGGGUAACGGCCCACCAAGGCGACGAUCAGUAGGGGUUCUGAGAGGAAGGUCCCCCACAUUGGAACUGAGACACGGUUCAAACUCCUACGGGAGGCAGCAGUGAGGAAUAUUGGUCAAUGGGCGAGAGCCUGAACCAGCCAAGUAGCGUGCAGGAUGACGGCCCUAUGGGUUGUAAACUGCUUUUAUAAGGGAAUAAAGUGAGCCUCGUGAGGCUUUUUGCAUGUACCUUAUGAAUAAGGACCGGCUAAUUCCGUGCCAGCAGCCGCCGUAA